RNAcentral lists this non-coding RNA (139 nucleotides) under uncultured eukaryote. The record is from RNAcentral.
GACGAACCAAAGGAAUCAAUCAAUAAAUCAAAUCAUUAAUCAAUUUCUCCUCAGUGUGUAUACUUCCUCCCGCAGCUUCUAUAUUUUCUUGCUUUAUCUGUUUUGUUUUUUUUGCUGACUUUUUAUUCUUCUUUUAUUU